UACAGAGGGUGCGAGCGUUAAUCGGAAUUACUGGGCGUAAAGCGCGCGUAGGCGGCUUUGCAAGUCGGGUGUGAAAUCCCCAGGCUUAACCUGGGAACUGCAUUCGAGACUGCAUUGCUAGAGUAUGGGAGAGGGAAGUGGAAUUUCCGGUGUAGCGGUGAAAUUCGUAGAUAUUGGGAAGAACACCGGUGGCGAAGGCGGCGCUCUGGACCGAGACUGACGCUGAGGCGCGAAAGCGUGGGGAGCAAACAGG
RNAcentral lists this ribosomal RNA (253 nucleotides) under uncultured bacterium. Its description in RNAcentral is "partial 16S ribosomal RNA". It matches the Rfam family "Bacterial small subunit ribosomal RNA", at positions 524 to 776 of the family's 1533-position model. The record is from RNAcentral.